Leptonychotes weddellii (Weddell seal) is the source of this 1087-nucleotide long non-coding RNA. RefSeq lists it as uncharacterized. Lineage: Eukaryota; Metazoa; Chordata; Mammalia; Carnivora; Phocidae. The record is from RefSeq and is a predicted model, not a curated record.
CCAAGUUCUGGACCUAGGUGCUCUGGCCUCUGCCUCCCCUCCCUACGCAUGCGCACUGGGUCCCCGUCCACCCUCCCGCAACCACCUGAGCCACGCCCACAACCCCGAACCCACGUCUCCCCACUCUCCUUCCAGACCCCGGUUCCCCCACGCCCACCGCACCCAGCCGGAAGCUCCUGCGCACCUGGGCUGGGUGAGCCGGUGGGCACUCCGGGGGGAGUCGGGGCGUCACUGCCGCUCGGAGUUGCCACAGCGACCGGAAGGAUCUCGAUGGAGACGGCAUCCCCUGGCCCCCGCACGAUACGGAUUAACCCCUUCUCCUGCAGCUCCUCCACCUUCAGCUCGAGCGCCGAGGGCCGCGCCGCCGGGACGGAGGGUCUCCAACUCCUUUCGAGCCUGGCUUAGCUGCUUUUCCAGCUCGGCGAUCUUGGCCAUGGAUUCGUUCUCCGCGUCCCGAAGCUUCUCUGUCAGCUGUGGCACAGCUCAUGAUGGGAAAAAUGAGACUCCGAGAGAAGAAGAAACCUAUCCAAAGUCACAUGGGCUUGGAAGGGGCAGAGUCGGGAUUUGAACCAGAUCUGCCUGACCUCAACACCCACGCUGCUAAGCACAGAGCCACACUCUGCAGUUGAACUGCCCAUCAUGACUUCCACAUCAGUGCCUCUUGACAAUUCUAUUGUGUUUCCAACAACACUGGGAAGCCCUACCGCCUCCCUCCAUCUGCCACAUCGUCCUUCUCCCGUCAUUGCUCAGAUAUGCCUGAGUCUUUGCUCAUGCUGUUCCUUCCACCUGGAAUGCCCCUCCCUGUCCCCAUCACUGCCUGUAAAGCCCGUAUCCAUCUGCGAGACAUAGUUCCAGUGCUCUCUCUUCUGGAAGACCUUCCUGAUGCCCCGGGAGGUAGCCACCUCCCCUCUCAGAGCUCCCGGUCACACCUCCACGAUAGCCUGUCCAACAUUGUCCCCUUCUAGACCAAGGGCUCCCAAAGCCAGGGUGAUCUCUCUCUCUCCUGAGCACCUGCUACCAUGCCUGAUACAUAGGAAAUGCUAUAAAAUAUUUGUUAAAUGAGUGAAUGAAUGAGCAAACAAAGGAA